ACCAGCAUGGUGUAGUGGUUUGAGCACUGGACUACGAUUCUGGAGACCAGGGUUCAAAUCCCUGCUCAGCCA
Phrynosoma platyrhinos (Desert horned lizard) is the source of this 72-nucleotide non-coding RNA. NCBI's taxonomy places the organism in Eukaryota, Metazoa, Chordata, Lepidosauria, Squamata, Phrynosomatidae. The record is from the annotation of a GenBank genome assembly.